GAGGAGGUGCUUCAAUGGCGUUCUGUGCUUCAGCAGGAGACUUUGGUCCCUCAAGUUCUCAUAAAAUGGAAAGGUCGCAAUGUGGAGAAAGCUACAUGGGUUGAUGCAGUUGAUUUUUGCAAUCAGUUUCCUCAUUUCCGCCUUGAGGACAAGGCUUUGCUUGAAGGGGUGGGUAUUGAUACAAAGAAGAAUUCAGUUGAUAGGCCUGGACCUUCAAGAGUUUAUUCCAGAAGGGUAAGGAAGGUGGCAAGGCAGGAAAGCUUCCAGAGACAUUGCAUGCAAAAGGGUGUGGAAAUACAGCUGGGAAGGAGUAACGACAAUUGAUGAGCUGGUUGCUAACCAGGAGACAUAUG
RNAcentral lists this unclassified non-coding RNA (353 nucleotides) under Hevea brasiliensis (rubber tree). The record is from RNAcentral. Lineage: Eukaryota; Viridiplantae; Streptophyta; Magnoliopsida; Malpighiales; Euphorbiaceae.